CACGUAGGCACCAAGCGUUGUCCGGAUUUAUUGGGCGUAAAGAGCUCGUAGGCGGUUCGGUAAGUCGGGUGUGAAAACUCUGGGCUCAACCCAGAGCCGCCACCCGAUACUGCUGUGACUUGAGUUCGGUAGGGGAGCGGGGAAUUCCUGGUGUAGCGGUGAAAUUCGUAGAUAUUCGGAAGAACACCAGUGGCGAAGGCGGCUCACUGGUCCGGUACUGACGCUGAGGUGCGAAAGCGUGGGGAGCAAACAGG
Molecule: ribosomal RNA, 254 nt
Filed under: uncultured bacterium
Lineage: Bacteria
Description: partial 16S ribosomal RNA
Rfam family: Bacterial small subunit ribosomal RNA
Source: RNAcentral